This 629-nucleotide ribosomal RNA is filed under the name Filobasidium magnum. RNAcentral describes it as "eukaryotic LSU rRNA". It matches the Rfam family "Eukaryotic large subunit ribosomal RNA", at positions 47 to 663 of the family's 3401-position model. Lineage: Eukaryota; Fungi; Basidiomycota; Tremellomycetes; Filobasidiales; Filobasidiaceae. The record is from RNAcentral.
UAAGCGGAGGAAAAGAAACUAACAAGGAUUCCCCUAGUAACGGCGAGUGAAGCGGGAAGAGCUCAAAUUUGAAAUCUGGUGGCCUCAGGUCAUCCGAGUUGUAAUCUAUAGAAGUGUUUUCCGUGCUGGCUCAUGUACAAGUCCCUUGGAACAGGGCGUCAUAGAGGGUGAGAAUCCCGUCCUUGACAUGAACUACCAGUGCUCUGUGAUACAUUUUCAACGAGUCGAGUUGUUUGGGAAUGCAGCUCAAAAUGGGUGGUAAAUUCCAUCUAAAGCUAAAUAUUGGCGAGAGACCGAUAGCGAACAAGUACCGUGAGGGAAAGAUGAAAAGCACUUUGGAAAGAGAGUUAAACAGUAUGUGAAAUUGUUGAAAGGGAAACGAUUGAAGUCAGUCGUGCUCUUUGGAUUCAGCCGGUUCUGCCGGUGUACUUCCUUUGAGUGGGGUCAACAUCAGUUUUGAUCGCUGGAUAAAGGCUGGAGGAACGUAGUACCCUCGGGUAAACUUAUAGCCUCCUGUCACAUACAGUGGUUGGGACUGAGGAACGCAGCACGCCUUUAUGGCCGGGAUUCGUCCACGUACGUGCUUAGGAUGUUGACAUAAUGGCUUUAAACGACCCGUUUGAAACACG